CGGGGUAUGGCGUAAUGGUAACGCAAGCGACUGUGGAUCGCUGAAUGGGGGUUCGAUUCCCCCUAUCCUGAUUU
This 74-nucleotide transfer RNA is filed under the name Bacillus phage vB_BanH_McCartney. RNAcentral describes it as "tRNA-His". It matches the Rfam family "tRNA". Rfam says of the family: Transfer RNA (tRNA) molecules are approximately 80 nucleotides in length. The record is from RNAcentral. Lineage: Duplodnaviria; Heunggongvirae; Uroviricota; Caudoviricetes; Herelleviridae.